Molecule: ribosomal RNA, 432 nt
Filed under: uncultured bacterium
Lineage: Bacteria
Description: partial 16S ribosomal RNA
Rfam family: Bacterial small subunit ribosomal RNA
Source: RNAcentral
AACGAACGCUGGCGGCAUGCCUAACACAUGCAAGUCGAACGAGACCUUCGGGUCUAGUGGCGCACGGGUGCGUAGCGCGUGGGAACCUGCCCUUAGGUUCGGAAUAACUCCCCGAAAGGGGUGCUAAUACCGGAUAAUGUCUUCGGACCAAAGAUUUAUCGCCUUUGGAUGGGCCCGCGUUGGAUUAGCUAGUUGGUAGGGUAAAAGCCUACCAAGGCGACGAUCCAUAGCCGGUCUGAGAGGAUGAUCAGCCACACUGGGACUGAGACACGGCCCAGACUCCUACGGGAGGCAGCAGUGGGGAAUAUUGGACAAUGGGCGAAAGCCUGAUCCAGCAAUGCCGCGUGAGUGAUGAAGGCCUUAGGGUUGUAAAGCUCUUUUACCCGGGAUGAUAAUGACAGUACCGGGAGAAUAAGCUCCGGCGAACUCCGU